RNAcentral lists this ribosomal RNA (495 nucleotides) under uncultured bacterium. RNAcentral describes it as "partial 16S ribosomal RNA". It matches the Rfam family "Bacterial small subunit ribosomal RNA", at positions 28 to 507 of the family's 1533-position model. The record is from RNAcentral.
GACGAACGCUGGCGGCGUGCCUAAUACAUGCAAGUCGAACGCUGAAGGAGGAGCUUGCUUCUCUGGAUGAGUUGCGAACGGGUGAGUAACGCGUAGGUAACCUGCCUGGUAGCGGGGGAUAACUAUUGGAAACGAUAGCUAAUACCGCAUAAGAGUAGAUGCUGCAUGACAUUUGCUUAAAAGGUGCAAUUGCAUCACUACCAGAUGGACCUGCGUUGUAUUAGCUAGUUGGUGGGGUAACGGCUUACCAAGGCGACGAUACAUAGCCGACCUGAGAGGGUGAUCGGCCACACUGGGACUGAGACACGGCCCAGACUCCUACGGGAGGCAGCAGUAGGGAAUCUUCGGCAAUGGACGGAAGUCUGACCGAGCAACGCCGCGUGAGUGAAGAAGGUUUUCGGAUCGUAAAGCUCUGUUGUAAGAGAAGAACGAGUGUGAGAGUGGAAAGUUCACACUGUGACGGUAGCUUACCAGAAAGGGACGGCUAACUACGUG